This 319-nucleotide small nuclear RNA is filed under the name Octodon degus (degu). RNAcentral's name for it is "7SK RNA (ENSODEG00000024512.1)". It matches the Rfam family "7SK RNA". Rfam says of the family: 7SK was discovered as an abundant small nuclear RNA in the mid-70s but a possible function has only recently been suggested. Lineage: Eukaryota; Metazoa; Chordata; Mammalia; Rodentia; Octodontidae. The record is from Rfam by way of RNAcentral.
GGAUGUGAGGGUGUUCUGGCUGCAACCUCUGUCACCCCAUUGAUCGCCAGGGUUGAUUCGGCUGACCUGGCUGGCUAGGCAGGUGUCCCCUUCCUCAACGAUCCAUGUGCAUCCCUCCCAAAGCUGUGCGCUCUGUCGAGGAGGACCACUCCCAGUAGAGGAGGACUGUUCCUUGGUCAGGGGUGUAUGAGUAGCUGUACUCCCCUGUAAGAACCUCCAAACAAGCUCUCAAAGAUCUGAAUUGGAAAAUCAUGAGCUUGGGGGUCACAACACAAGACACCUCUCUUCACCUGUGUGUCCCUCACAUCAGGCUUCCUUG